CUGCCUGAGAGUUUAGCCACCCCAUCGGUGCCCUUUUCGACUCUGGGCAUUCUUCGCACCAAUCUUUGCCAUUUCCGCCGACUCCCCACCGCCUUCAGUCUCUCGAGCCCUUUCGAGGAGUUCUCCCAUCGGGGCUUCUGCCUCGGAGCCCAAUCUCGAGAGGAUGUUGCGGAUCGAGAGGAGUGGGAGGGGAAAAACAGUG
This 202-nucleotide long non-coding RNA is filed under the name Elaeis guineensis (African oil palm). Its description in RNAcentral is "long non-coding RNA (EGUI_LNC017308)". Lineage: Eukaryota; Viridiplantae; Streptophyta; Magnoliopsida; Arecales; Arecaceae. The record is from RNAcentral.